This 439-nucleotide ribosomal RNA is filed under the name uncultured bacterium. Its description in RNAcentral is "partial 16S ribosomal RNA". It matches the Rfam family "Bacterial small subunit ribosomal RNA", at positions 338 to 795 of the family's 1533-position model. The record is from RNAcentral.
CCUACGGGUGGCAGCAGUGGGGGAUAUUGCACAAUGGGGGAAACCCUGAUGCAGCGACGCCGCGUGAGUGAAGAAGUAUUUCGGUAUGUAAAGCUCUAUCAGCAGGGAAGAAAAUGACAGUACCUGACCAAGAAGCCCCGGCUAACUACGUGCCAGCAGCCGCGGUAAUACGUAGGGGGCAAGCGUUAUCCGGAUUUACUGGGUGUAAAGGGAGCGCAGGCGGUCUGUUAAGUCAGCGGUCAAAGCCCGGGGCUCAACCCCGGCCCGCCGUUGAAACUGGCAGUCUCGAGUUGGAGAGAAGUAUGCGGAAUGCGCGGUGUAGCGGUGAAAUGCAUAGAUAUCGCGCAGAACUCCGAUUGCGAAGGCAGCAUGCCGGCUCCACACUGACGCUGAGGCACGAAAGCGUGGGUAUCGAACAGGAUUAGAUACCCUAGUAGUC